RNAcentral lists this long non-coding RNA (3758 nucleotides) under Solanum tuberosum (potato). RNAcentral's name for it is "long non-coding RNA (STUB_LNC005242)". The record is from RNAcentral. Lineage: Eukaryota; Viridiplantae; Streptophyta; Magnoliopsida; Solanales; Solanaceae.
AAUACAUCAGGAUCUGACCAAAUGGUUGGAUCUCGUUGAAUCAUCCACAAGUUGAAUAGUACUCGAGUACCUUUUGAGAUAGUAUAGUCACCAACAGUGCAAUCUUCCAUGGAUUCAUGAGGGACUGAGAGUGGUCCAGGUGGAUAUAAACGUAACGAUUCUUUAGUAAUCGCUUGAAGAUAAACCAAGUUAUUUAUAUGUGACUCAUCAACAAAUUUAUUUCUUCCAACUUGAAUGUCUAUUUCUUCUUGGGCCUUUUUCAUUACAUGAGGGUUGUUGAGUAACAAAGAGAGAAUCCAUAUUAGUGCUACAACUAUGGUGUCAGAUCCUCCUGCCCACAUAGCCUUCCAAAAUAGGAAAAAAAUAAUAGUAAAUUUGCUAGAAGUAUUGAAAAGAUACUCCUUCAUUUCGUCUUUUUAUUACCUCAUAAAUAAAAAUAAAAAGUAGAAAGUAGUUCAAUUAAAAUAGACUUACCAAGCAUGUAGAUUUGAUAAUGGUAUCAGCAUCAAAACCAGCAAGAUCUUCAUCCAUUGCAUCUUCAAAAAGGGCCAACAUUAUAUCCAUAAAAUCUUUAUCAUCCUCACAUUUUUUUUCUCCACAACUUCUCUUUUUCUUGUGUUCUACUAGCCAUUUUUCAAGAAUAUAAUCUAUUUCCUUAGCAUUUUCCUUCAUUUCCUUUUCAUAUCCUCCUAUAUCUAACCAUCUUAGUGAAGGCAUAUAAUCAGCUACAACAAAUACACGAAAUAAAUUCAUAAAAGUUCGAAUUGCUUUUCUAGCCCUCUCUACUUCAAAAUCAUGUUCUUUACCGAAAAGGAUUCUUACAAUAACGUUCAUGGUCAAGUUCUCGAACCAUUGAUUCAUUUCUAUUUUCACAGUAUUUGGAGAACCAUUCAUCAUUUCAUAAAUUUGUUUGAGGGAUGUUUUGACUUCGAAUUCUCUAAUGUGUCGAUGCAUUUGUACUCGAUGAUUGGAGAGUAAUACGAGUACAACUAUUUUUUUCAUUUCUCGCCAGUAUGGGCCGUAAGGGCCCAUACCAAAAAGGGCGUAGUUGUAGCCCAAGACCUCUAAUGCCAACGAUUUAGGCCGGCUUGCCAUGGCCUUGUCGUUGGUAGUAAAGCAAUCUUGGGCUAUCUUCCUAUUGUUCACCACCACAACUUGAUGGGAUCCAAAUUUUACUGUGAAAAUUGGCCCAUAUUUGUCUGCCAUGAGCCCAAGAAUUUUGUGAGGCAUCUUAGAUCCAUUGAAAAGGUGGAGAUGGCCAAUUAUUGGCCAUGAUCCAGCAACUUUAGGGGGUGUUGUACCUUUUUUGGUACUAAAAAUCCCAAAAAGCAUGUAAAUGAAGUAGAGAAAAAUAAUAAAUGUAGUAGCAUAAGUAAUGGCAAGAGAGAAAUCCAUUGCUUUAAUUUGAAAGAAUGGUUUGCUGUUUUUUCCUCAAUUUGGUGUGUUGCUUCUGUAAUAUUGUACCACUGCGAGUAAGUAUUUAAUGUUGAAAGAGUACAAUAUGAAGAAGUAACAAAUUAAAAAAAAAUCUAUUUUUGAAAUAGUGAAAAAGUAUUUAUUCCUACUUAUUAGUGUUACCUAACGCUACUUAAUCAUAAAAUCAUAAUUAACAUACUUUUUAAUACUUGAUAGGUACUUGAGACGUCUUCCUUAUUCCUACUUUAUGCUACUCUAUAUAAUUAAUAAUCCUACUCCCCUCUUACCUAACGCUACUUAAUGAUAGGUACUUAAUUAUACUUAACGCCACUUAAUAACAGGUACUUAAUCAAUCUUCUAAUUUAUCUUGUUCUCCUCUUACCUAACACUACCGAAUAAUAUUCCCUCUAUUUCAUAUUAACUGAAUUUUGAGACAAUGCACACUUAUUAAGAAAAACAUUCAAUUAUAUUAUUAAAUCACAAUUUCUAUUAUUGUCUUUUGUGAAAUCAUAAACGUAACUUUGUAAAUAGUGCAAUUUAUCUCUUAGAAAAUAUCAAAUUUUUUUAAAGGAAAGGGCAAAUAUAGAAAAUAUUUCAGAUAUUCAUUUUAAACUUUGAACAAUUCAAUUAUUAUGAACAAUAAAAAAAGACUAAAAAAUUGAGUUAAUAUAAAAUAAAGGGAGUACUUAAAAGCAGUCUUCCUCUUCCUUUUUUUCAUUCCUACUUUAUGCUACUUAACUCUAAUUGAUCAUUCUUUCCUCUCACACAACCACAUAAGCGGUGCUAAGUAGCGUUAAAUAAUAAGAGAGUAGGAUUGAUAUUUUAUUUUAGUAGCAUAAACUAGGAUCCAAAAAGGCAAUAAUGAGACCUUCACACAAAUGCUUUUUUUUGGGAGUUCGUUAAUUUUUGCUCCUUAAAAUUGAUGGUUUUUAAUUUUUAUCUUUAAAAAUUUUAAAUAAAAAAUGAUAGGAAUUGUCCCUAACAACGAAAAAAAUAAAAAUAAAACCGCAAGGCAUAAGUUAUAUAUGCACCAAUGCAAAAUAAAAAUAAGUCAAGACAUAAAUUGUGCCCCAAGGCAUAAGUUCUGCUUGCUUCAUACGUGGGAUUUUUUUGGCAAAGAAAAGUCAUGAGAAAGGGUGGUAGCAAUUCUAGCAAGGAGCCCAUCCCUCUCGUUCUUACAGAAGACGACGGACGGAAAGAGGGGAAACAUCCUUGGAAGCAAAAUAGAUUAAGUUCAAUGCAUAAGUUUAAUAACCCGAAUUAUUUCCUAAGAUAAGUUCAAUGACUCAAGUUUACCAUAGGACAACAUAAGUUUCGGGCACAAGUUAUGUCACAGGACAUAAAUUUAGUGAUAGAAGUUAUGUCUUAAAAAAAAAGUUCUCCAAAAGUCUUGACUUAAGUUCAGUGGCAUAAGUUAUUAAUAGUACAAAUCUGGGGACAAUCUUGGAGCAAUGAGAACCUCGAGUGGUGUAGUUUUCGUACCAAAACUUGCAGUCAUGUCAAUUGGUUCAUCAGAUGGCCUUGUAAUUUCAAAUGCAUGUAGCACGUUAGCCAAAGUCAAGUGCAACAACACAAGUGUUGACGAAAUCCCCGGGCAAAUUCUUCUUCCAGCGCCAAAUGGAAUCAACUCAAAAUGAUUUCCCUUAACAUCUAUAUCUUUAUGAGUCGUCAAGAACCUCUCUGGCUUGAAUAAAUCGGGUUCUGGCCAAACGGUCGGAUCCCGUUGAAUCUUCCACAAGUUGAAUAGUACUCGAGUACCUUUAGGGAUAUUAUAGCCACCAACAAUGCAAUCUUCUAUGGAUUCAUGGGGCGCUGAGAGUGGUCCAGGUGGAUAUAAACGUAACGAUUCUUUAGCAAUAGCUUGAAGAUAGACCAAGCUAUUUAUAUGUGACUCAUCAACAAGUUUAUAUUUUCCAACUUGAAUGUCUAGUUCUUCUUGGGCCUUUUGCAUUACAUGAGGGUUGUUGAGUAACAAAGAGAGAGUCCAUGUUAAUGCUACAAUUAUGGUGUCGGAUCCCCCUGCUAACAUAGACUUCCAAAAUAGGAAAAAGGAGAAAAAGAAAUUACUAAAUUAUAUAAUGACUUUUAUAAAUGAAAAGACUAAAAUUCAGAUAUAGUAUAUAUGGUGUAUAAUAUAUGUCAGAUUAAAAGGAAAAGAUAUACUAUAUCUCUAUUCCAAUUUGUAUAACUUGCUUUCAUUUUUAGUCCGUCUCGAAAAAAUGACAUGUUUUGUGUUGAUUUCAUAUCAUGAAAUGAAAUUUCAAAGUCUCCAAAAAUCAUGAUUUGAGAUUUUUCAAAUAUAAAAAUUGACCCACAAGUUUAUAUUUUGUAAAAACAACCCC